This 479-nucleotide ribosomal RNA is filed under the name uncultured bacterium. RNAcentral describes it as "bacterial SSU rRNA". It matches the Rfam family "Bacterial small subunit ribosomal RNA", at positions 923 to 1379 of the family's 1533-position model. The record is from RNAcentral.
GCACAAGCGGUGGAGACAUGGUGGAUGUAAUGUCGAUGCAACGCGAAGAACCUUACCUGGGCUUGACAUGCACUGGAAACCGGCAGAGAUGUCGGCCCCCCCCUUUGUUGGGGGCCCGGGGUGUGCAGGUGGGUGCAUGGCUGUCGUCAGCUCGUGCCGUGAGAUGUUGGGUUAAGUCCCGCAACGAGCGCAACCCUUGUCCUACGUUGCCAGCAUGCCCUUCGGGGUGAUGGGGACUCGUGGGAGACCGCCGGGGUCAACUCGGAGGAAGGUGGGGAUGACGUCAAGUCAUCAUGCCCCUUAUGUCCAGGGCUUCACACAUGCUACAAUGGCUGGUACAGAGGGUUGCGAUACCGCGAGGUGGAGCGAAUCCCUUAAAGCCGGUCUCAGUUCGGAUCGCAGUCUGCAACUCGACUGCGUGAAGUCGGAGUCGCUAGUAAUCGCAGAUCAGCAACGCUGCGGUGAAUACGUUCCCGGGC